GGGUGGGAGGCCAGGCUGUGGUCAAGAAGAACCUGUCUAUUACUAGAUGAAGGUAUUUUCUAGCCUCUUCCUUUCCAGGGUUCAGUCGGCGGAUCUGGCUGUCCACCUGGGUGUCUCUGUCCUCUCUCGCCGCUCCAUGUGCGCCCCUCUUGAAGCUGAGUGCUCACAGAAGAGGACCACCCCCGAUAGAGGAGGAAUGUUCCUUGGUCAAGGUAGACCAGUAGCUGUGUUCCACUGCCAGAACCUCCAAACAAGCUCUCAGUUAUGCUGGGUUUCUCCAGUACUUCAUUUGACCCAAGGAAUGGAAGUGAAACCUACCUUGGACAAAAUUGAAAGGAUCUAUAAACAUGCUUCUCACCAUCCUCU
Cavia porcellus (domestic guinea pig) is the source of this 366-nucleotide non-coding RNA. Lineage: Eukaryota; Metazoa; Chordata; Mammalia; Rodentia; Caviidae. The record is from Rfam.